This 75-nucleotide transfer RNA is filed under the name Ignavibacteria bacterium. RNAcentral describes it as "tRNA-Ile". It matches the Rfam family "tRNA". From Rfam's summary of the family: Transfer RNA (tRNA) molecules are approximately 80 nucleotides in length. Their secondary structure includes four short double-helical elements and three loops (D, anti-codon, and T loops). Further hydrogen bonds mediate the characteristic L-shaped molecular structure. tRNAs have two regions of fundamental functional importance: the anti-codon, which is responsible for specific mRNA codon recognition, and the 3' end, to which the tRNAs corresponding amino acid is attached (by aminoacyl-tRNA synthetases). tRNAs cope with the degeneracy of the genetic code in two manners: having more than one tRNA (with a specific anti-codon) for a particular amino acid; and 'wobble' base-pairing, i.e. permitting non-standard base-pairing at the 3rd anti-codon position. The record is from RNAcentral. Lineage: Bacteria; Pseudomonadati; Ignavibacteriota; Ignavibacteria.
UGUCGGAUAGCUCAGUUUGGUUAGAGCACAAAGCUGAUACCUUUGGGGUCGCUGGUUCGAAUCCAGUUCCGACAA